GGCCGCGGGAAUUCGAUUAGAGUUUGAUUCUGGCUCAGGAUGAGCGCUGGCGGCGUGCUUACACAUGCAAGUCGAACGGACCUGUACUGAAACCUAGUGAUUUACAGGUUAGUGGCGGACGGGUGAGUAACGCGUGGAAAACCUGCCGUAUACUGGGGGAUAACACUUAGAAAUAGGUGCUAAUACCGCAUAAGCGCACAGGCCCGCAUGGGACAGUGUGAAAAACUCCGGUGGUAUACGAUGGUUCCGCGUCUGAUUAGCUUGUUGGCGGGGUAACGGCCCACCAAGGCGACGAUCAGUAGCCGGCCUGAGAGGGUGAACGGCCACAUUGGGACUGAGACACGGCCCAGACUCCUACGGGAGGCAGCAGUGGGGAAUAUUGCACAAUGGGGGAAACCCUGAUGCAGCGACGCCGCGUGAGUGAAGAAGUAUCUCGGUACGUAAAGCUCUAUCAGCAGGGAAGAAAAAAAGUCUUUGGCUUUGGACGGUACCUGACUAAGAAGCCCCGGCUAACUACGUGCCAGCAGCCGCGGUAAUACGUAGGGGGCAAGCGUUAUCCGGAUUUACUGGGUGUAAAGGGAGCGUAGACGGCAGCGCAAGUCUGGAGUGAAAUGCCGGGGCUCAACCCCGGAACUGCUUUGGAAACUGUGCAGCUAGAGUGCGGGAGAGGUAAGCGGAAUUCCUAGUGUAGCGGUGAAAUGCGUAGAUAUUANGAGGAACACCAGUGGCGAAGGCGGCUUACUGGACCGUAACUGACGUUGAAG
This 764-nucleotide ribosomal RNA is filed under the name uncultured bacterium. RNAcentral describes it as "partial 16S ribosomal RNA". It matches the Rfam family "Bacterial small subunit ribosomal RNA", at positions 1 to 751 of the family's 1533-position model. The record is from RNAcentral.